CCAGAGGGUCGGGCGGCCGCGGGUGCGCAAGCACGCGAGGAAAGUCCGGGCUCCACGGAACCACGGUGCCGGGUAACGCCCGGCGGGCCAGCUUGCUGGUUUAGGGAAAGUGCCACAGAGAGCAGACCGCCCACUGGUUCUUCGGAACUAAGGGCAAGGGUGAAAGGGUGCGGCAAGAGCGCACCGCGCGACGGGCAACCGAAGCGGCACGGCAAACCCCACCGGGAGCAAGACCGAAUAGGGGCGGCAAUGGACUUCGAGUCCGGGGGCCUGGUUCCGGCCCGUCGCCCGGGUUGGUUGCUGGAGCGGCGGAGCAAUCCGUCGCCUAGAGGAAUGGUCGCACAUCGCUUUCGGGCGAGGACAGAACCCGGCUUAUAGACCCUCUGGCAUC
RNAcentral lists this RNase P RNA (391 nucleotides) under Sphingomonas sp. LM7. RNAcentral describes it as "RNase P RNA component class A". It matches the Rfam family "Bacterial RNase P class A". Rfam says of the family: Ribonuclease P (RNase P) is a ubiquitous endoribonuclease, found in archaea, bacteria and eukarya as well as chloroplasts and mitochondria. Its best characterised activity is the generation of mature 5'-ends of tRNAs by cleaving the 5'-leader elements of precursor-tRNAs. Cellular RNase Ps are ribonucleoproteins. Lineage: Bacteria; Pseudomonadati; Pseudomonadota; Alphaproteobacteria; Sphingomonadales; Sphingomonadaceae. The record is from RNAcentral.